Molecule: ribosomal RNA, 491 nt
Filed under: uncultured bacterium
Lineage: Bacteria
Description: bacterial SSU rRNA
Rfam family: Bacterial small subunit ribosomal RNA
Source: RNAcentral
GACGAACGCUGGCGGCGUGCUUAACACAUGCAAGUCGAACGAUGAACUGGAGCUUGCUCCAGGGAUUAGUGGCGAACGGGUGAGUAACACGUGAGUAACCUGCCCUUGACUCUGGGAUAAGCGUUGGAAACGACGUCUAAUACCGGAUAUGACUUCUGACGGCAUCGUCUGGGAGUGGAAAGAAUUUUGGUCAAGGAUGGACUCGCGGCCUAUCAGGUAGUUGGUGAGGUAAUGGCUCACCAAGCCGACGACGGGUAGCCGGCCUGAGAGGGAGACCGGCCACACUGGGACUGAGACACGGCCCAGACUCCUACGGGAGGCAGCAGUGGGGAAUAUUGCACAAUGGGCGAAAGCCUGAUGCAGCAACGCCGCGUGAGGGACGACGGCCUUCGGGUUGUAAACCUCUUUUAGUUGGGAAGAAGGGAGCUUGCUCUUGACGGUACCAGCAGAAAAAGCACCGGCUAACUACGUGCCAGCCGCCGCCGUAAAAC